UACGUAGGUGACCAGCGUUGUCCGGAUUUACUGGGCGUAAAGAGCGCGCAGGCGGUCGUUCAAGUCGAGUGUGAAAGCCCCCGGCUCAACUGGGGAGGGUCACUCGAUACUGAUCGACUUGAAGGCAGGAGAGGGAAGCGGAAUUCCCGGUGUAGUGGUGAAAUGCGUAGAUAUCGGGAGGAACACCAGUGGCGAAGGCGGCUUCCUGGCCUGUUCUUGACGCUGAGGCGGCGAAAGCUAGGGGAGCAAACGGG
Molecule: ribosomal RNA, 254 nt
Filed under: uncultured bacterium
Lineage: Bacteria
Description: partial 16S ribosomal RNA
Rfam family: Bacterial small subunit ribosomal RNA
Source: RNAcentral